Molecule: long non-coding RNA, 744 nt
Organism: Nematostella vectensis (starlet sea anemone)
Lineage: Eukaryota; Metazoa; Cnidaria; Anthozoa; Actiniaria; Edwardsiidae
Exons: 2
Source: RefSeq, a predicted model, not a curated record
UGAAACCCUUGAAGAACUCUUGUACUUCUGUGAAUGUCGGUGGUGGACAUGGCCCCCCCAGGGAGAGAGGGGUGACAAAUCGCUCCUGCAACCUGCAAAAUACAGGUUCAGUUAUAGGAAUACCAAGGUCAGCGUGGCUGACUGAGGCAAAAUCAAGGUUUGCAGAAAGAUAUUGGACGCAGUCACCAUGGUUGUGCAGUUGAAAACGUUGCAAUUAUGUUCUCUGUAUGUACACUGUCACCUGUAAUAGCUGAGACUGGAAGAGCCUUGCAAAUGGAACAUAAUUAGCUUGAUCUGACCUUUGAUGGACAAGUAAUCUGAAGAGGAAGUAGUUCAUCCAAGUCAGAGCAGGCUUAGUGAAGCCACCAUCACAGUAAUAUCAUCUUUUUACUGUAAUCACCACCAUCAUCACAAUAAAAUCCUCACAGCAAAUGUCAUUACCAUAAUAAUCAUAACCAUCAACCACAACCAUCAUCACUGCAUUCAGCAUCAUAUCAUCAUCAUAAUAACGAUCAUCACCAUCAUCACUGUAAUGAUCACAAUCAUCGUUGACAACACCACCACUUUAAUCAUCAUCACCAUUAUCACCAUCACCAGCAUCAUCAUUAUCAUUAUCAUCAUUAUCAUGAUCAUCAUACCAUACAGUAACUAUCAGUAUGUAACCAUUACUACCACCAUCAUCGCCAUCACCAUCAAAAAACUACCCUCACCCUAUUUAUCACCAUUAAACCAUGAAAAUUUCCU